Molecule: long non-coding RNA, 441 nt
Organism: Anguilla anguilla (European eel)
Lineage: Eukaryota; Metazoa; Chordata; Actinopteri; Anguilliformes; Anguillidae
Exons: 3
Source: RefSeq, a predicted model, not a curated record
UUGUGUUACACGAAAGCUGGUAACUUGGUCAGUUUGGUUAGUGACACAUGGGCACCUAUCAACCCAUUGGCCUAUUCGUCAGCCAUGCAGAGAAGGUCCUUCCCCCAGUGAAAGCUGAACAGCUGCUGAAUGACAGCCAGAAGUCUUUGAGUGACAGCUGAAGAGUUCCUGAGUGGCAGCUGAAGAGUUGCUGGGAGACAGGAGUUGUUCAGAGACAGAAUGAUGUUUUGGUGGCUGGUCACAUCCUUGCCCCUCACACCCCACCCCAGUCUGGAAGCCUGGAAGUACAUUCAAAAAUAUGAACAAGUGAUAUAUUUCCAUUUAUAUCAAUGGGUAACAAUUAUUUGUGAUGAGACUGGCAGUCUAUUGAAGAUUUGAAAGGUACACCGCAGUCAAGCACUUGAACGUGGAAAAGAGAUACUAGCUGACCAAAACAUGGCA